GCCAGUGCCUGAUGGCUGAAAGAUGGGAGAAACUGCGAGAUGUUGUUAAAAACAGUCAAAUUUUCAGUCUGCCAAAGUACCCGCAAAAUUGGUGCAGUUUCACUGGAAAGUACACAGAAUCACGUCCUGGCUUUGCAUGGUUGAAGUGCAAGGCGGAUAUAGACUUUGAAAUUCUAUUAAGAUCACAUAAGAUACUGACAAGGGGUGGGGAGCGUUUCGGAGUUGGUCGACAGUACGUCAGGAUCAGCUUGCUCAGUCAAGAAGAAGCAUUUAACCUUUUUCUGGAGAGAUUAUCAGCAAUCAAAGGGCAAGGCAUCAUCAGUGAAGAAAAUCACAUGUAACAAGUCAUAUGGUACACUUGACAGUGCAGGGAUUCAGAACCACCUGAACUUUAGGCAUAUUAAGAAGGCAUGGUAGUUUUAUCCUUUUUGUUUGUAACCCCAAGGAUGAUAAU
RNAcentral lists this unclassified non-coding RNA (454 nucleotides) under Hevea brasiliensis (rubber tree). Lineage: Eukaryota; Viridiplantae; Streptophyta; Magnoliopsida; Malpighiales; Euphorbiaceae. The record is from RNAcentral.